GACGAACGCUGGCGGCGUGCCUAAUACAUGCAAGUCGAACGCACUCUCGUUUAGAUUGAAGGAGCUUGCUCCUGAUUGAUAAACAUUUGAGUGAGUGGCGGACGGGUGAGUAACACGUGGGUAACCUGCCCUAAAGUGGGGGAUAACAUUUGGAAACAGAUGCUAAAUACCGCAUAAAACCUAACACCGCAUGGUGUAGGGUUGAAAGAUGGUUUCGGCUAAUCACUUUAGGAUGGACCCGCGGUGCAUUAGUUAGUUGGUGAGGUAAAGGCUCACCAAGACCGUGAUGCAUAGCCGAACCUGAGAGGGUAAUCGGCCACACUGGGACUGAGACACGGCCCAGACUCCUACGGGAGGCAGCAGUAGGGAAAUCUUCCCACAAAUGGACGAAAGUCUGAUGGA
Molecule: ribosomal RNA, 402 nt
Filed under: uncultured bacterium
Lineage: Bacteria
Description: bacterial SSU rRNA
Rfam family: Bacterial small subunit ribosomal RNA
Source: RNAcentral